RNAcentral lists this ribosomal RNA (504 nucleotides) under uncultured bacterium. RNAcentral describes it as "partial 16S ribosomal RNA". It matches the Rfam family "Bacterial small subunit ribosomal RNA", at positions 29 to 507 of the family's 1533-position model. The record is from RNAcentral.
ACGCACGCUGGCGGCGUGCCUAAUACAUGCAAGUAGAACGCACAGUUUAUACCGUAGCUUGCUACACCAUAGACUGUGAGUUGCGAACGGGUGAGUAACGCGUAGGUAACCUGCCUGGUAGCGGGGGAUAACUAUUGGAAACGAUAGCUAAUACCGCAUAAUAUUAAUUAUUGCAUGAUAAUUAAUUGAAAGGUGCAAUUGCACCACUACCAGAUGGACCUGCGUUGUAUUAGCUAGUAGGUGAGGUAACGGCUCACCUAGGCGACGAUACAUAGCCGACCUGAGAGGGUGAUCGGCCACACUGGGACUGAGACACGGCCCAGACUCCUACGGGAGGCAGCAGUAGGGAAUCUUCGGCAAUGGACGAAAGUCUGACCGAGCAACGCCGCGUGAGUGAAGAAGGUUUUCGGAUCGUAAAGCUCUGUUGUAAGAGAAGAACGGGUGUGAGAGUGGAAAGUUCACAAUGUGACGGUAUCUUACCAGAAAGAGACGGCUAACUACGUG